CCUACGGGUGGCAGCAGUGGGGAAUAUUGGACAAUGGGCGAAAGCCUGAUCCAGCCAUGCCGCGUGUGUGAAGAAGGCCUUCGGGUUGUAAAGCACUUUCAGUGGGGAAGAAAGCCUUGGGGCUAAUACCCUCGAGGAAGGACAUCACCCACAGAAGAAGCACCGGCUAACUGCCGUGCCAGCAGCCGCGGUAAUACGGAGGGUGCGAGCGUUAAUCGGAAUUACUGGGCGUAAAGCGCGCGUAGGCGGUCUGAUAAGCCGGUUGUGAAAGCCCCGGGCUCAACCUGGGAACGGCAUCCGGAACUGUCAGGCUAGAGUGCAGGAGAGGAAGGUAGAAUUCCCGGUGUAGCGGUGAAAUGCGUAGAGAUCGGGAGGAAUACCAGUGGCGAAGGCGGCCUUCUGGACUGACACUGACGCUGAGGUGCGAAAGCGUGGGUAGCAAACAGGAUUAGAUACCCUGGUAGUC
This 466-nucleotide ribosomal RNA is filed under the name Vreelandella stevensii. RNAcentral describes it as "partial 16S ribosomal RNA". It matches the Rfam family "Bacterial small subunit ribosomal RNA", at positions 338 to 795 of the family's 1533-position model. Lineage: Bacteria; Pseudomonadati; Pseudomonadota; Gammaproteobacteria; Oceanospirillales; Halomonadaceae. The record is from RNAcentral.